This 1486-nucleotide ribosomal RNA is filed under the name uncultured Bordetella sp. RNAcentral's name for it is "partial 16S-23S ribosomal RNA intergenic spacer". It matches the Rfam family "Bacterial small subunit ribosomal RNA". The record is from RNAcentral. Lineage: Bacteria; Pseudomonadati; Pseudomonadota; Betaproteobacteria; Burkholderiales; Alcaligenaceae.
AGUUUGAUUCGGGCUCAGAUUGAACGCUGGCGGGAUGCUUUACACAUGCAAGUCGAACGGCAGCACGGACUUCGGUCUGGUGGCGAGUGGCGAACGGGUGAGUAAUGUAUCGGAACGUGCCUAGUAGCGGGGGAUAACUACGCGAAAGGUAGCUAAUACCGCAUACGCCCUUCGGGGGAAAGCGGGGACCUUCGGGCCUCGCACUAUUAGAGCGGCCGAUAUCGGAUUAGCUAGUUGGUGGGGUAACGGCUCACCAAGGCGACGAUCCGUAGCUGGUUUGAGAGGACGACCAGCCACACUGGGACUGAGACACGGCCCAGACUCCUACGGGAGGCAGCAGUGGGGAAUUUUGGACAAUGGGGGAAACCCCUGGAUCCAGCCAUCCCGCGUGUGCGAUGAAGGCCUUCGGGUUGUAAAGCACUUUUGGCAGGAAAGAAACGGCACGGGAUAAUACCCCGUGCAACUGACGGUACCUGCAGAAUAAGCACCGGCUAACUACGUGCCAGCAGCCGCGGUAAUACGUAGGGUGCAAGCGUUAAUCGGAAUUACUGGGCGUAAAGCGUGCGCAGGCGGUUCGGAAAGAAAGAUGUGAAAUCCCAGAGCUUAACUUUGGAACUGCAUUUUUAACUACCGAGCUAGAGGUGUCAGAGGGAGGUGGAAUUCCGCGUGUAGCAGUGAAAUGCGUAGAUAUGCGGAGGAACACCGAUGGCGAAGGCAGCCUCCCGGGAUAACACUGACGCUCAUGCACGAAAGCGGGGAGCAAACAGGAUUAGAUACCCUGGUAGUCCACGCCCUAAACGAUGUCAACUAGCUGUUGGGGCCUUCGGGCCUUGGUAGCGCAGCUAACGCGUGAAGUUGACCGCCUGGGGAGUACGGUCGCAAGAUUAAAACUCAAAGGAAUUGACGGGGACCCGCACAAGCGGUGGAUGAUGUGGAUUAAUUCGAUGCAACGCGAAAAACCUUACCUACCCUUGACAUGUCUGGAAUCCCGAAGAGAUUUGAGUGCCUCGCAAGAGAACCGGAACACAGGUGCUGCAUGGCUGUCGUCAGCUCGUGUCGUGAGAUGCUGGGUUAAGUCCCGCAACGAGCGCAACCCUUGUCAUUAGUUGCUACGAAAGGGCACUCUAUCGAGACUGCCGGUGACAAACCGGAGGAAGGUGGGGAUGACGUCAAGUCCUCAUGGCCCUUAUGGGUAGGGCUUCACACGUCAUACAAUGGUCGGGACAGAGGGUCGCCAACCCGCGAGGGGGAGCCAAUCCCAGAAACCCGAUCGUAGUCCGGAUCGCAGUCGGCAACUCGACUGCGUGAAGUCGGAAUCGCUAGGUAAUCGCGGAUCAGCGUGUCGCGGUGAAUACUGUUCCUGGUCUUGUACACACCGCCCGUCACACCAUGGGAGUGGGCUUCACCAGAAGUAGUUAGCCUAACCGUAAGGAGGGCGAUUACCACGGUAGGAUUCAUGACUGGGGUGAAGUCGUACAAGGUAGCC